AGUAAUGUCUGGGAAACUGCCUGAUGGAGGGGGAUAACUACUGGAAACGGUAGCUAAUACCGCAUAACGUCGCAAGACCAAAGAGGGGGACCUUCGGGCCUCUUGCCAUCGGAUGUGCCCAGAUGGGAUUAGCUAGUAGGUGGGGGUAACGGCUCACCUAGGCGACGAUCCCUAGCUGGUCUGAGAGGAUGACCAGCCACACUGGAACUGAGACACGGUCCAGACUCCUACGGGAGGCAGCAUG
RNAcentral lists this ribosomal RNA (244 nucleotides) under uncultured bacterium. Its description in RNAcentral is "partial 16S ribosomal RNA". It matches the Rfam family "Bacterial small subunit ribosomal RNA", at positions 109 to 353 of the family's 1533-position model. The record is from RNAcentral.